GCCGAUCUUUCUUAGAUCUUACUCCACGGAAAAGUAAAGCAAUUCUCAUCCAUAAAACAUGUUCUCAUUCCACGGUCCAGACCCAAGAGUCCCAAACGGAAAGGGAUGGAGAAGGCGAGAAGUGCGAUGAAGACGGCCUGGCGGACGACCGGGAGCCAUCCGAUCCCCAAGCGCGGGUGGGUGAAGCUGUUCAUCGCCGUUGGCAUCGCUCACUCCCUACCCGCACUCUUCUCCCCCGCCCGCCCCGCUUCUUGAUGUCGCAAGAGGAGGGAGAGCAAAAAAUUUUUUCCCUUGUCGUUCAUAUUAAUUGAUCGAACCAAGCGCUUUGUUCGAUCAAUCUGUUUGUAUAAAUUCUGAAUUAGAAGGAAGUAAAAACAAUUUUGCUUGUAAUAAUUUUCUUUUUGUUUUUUUCGCUAAAGUGGGUGAUUUAAAUAAUUCGCAUAUAAAUACAGCC
RNAcentral lists this long non-coding RNA (454 nucleotides) under Elaeis guineensis (African oil palm). RNAcentral describes it as "long non-coding RNA (EGUI_LNC012876)". Lineage: Eukaryota; Viridiplantae; Streptophyta; Magnoliopsida; Arecales; Arecaceae. The record is from RNAcentral.